CCUACGGGUGGCUGCAGUGAGGAAUAUUGGGCAAUGGACGCAACUCUGACCCAGCCAUGCCGCGUGAGUGAAGAAGGUUUUCGGGUUGUAAAGCUCUUUCGGCUGUGACGAUAAUGACGGUAGCCGCUAACCCCUCCCCGGCUCACUUCGUUACAGCAGCCGCGGUCAUCCUAAGGGGGCAAGCGUUUAUCGGAAUUACUGGGCGUAAAGGGGGUGUAGGCGGUUUAGUAAGAUAGUGGUGAAAUCCCAGGGCUUAACCUUGGAAUUGCCAUUAUAACUAUUAGACUAGACUGAAAGAGAGGUGAGCGGAAUACCAAGUGUAGAGGUGAAAUGCGUAGAUAUUGGGCAGAACACCAGUGGCGAAGGCGACUAGCUGGAUGGAGACUGACGCUGAGGCUCGAAAGCAUGGGGAUCAAACAGGAUUAGAUACCCGAGUAGUC
This 440-nucleotide ribosomal RNA is filed under the name uncultured bacterium. RNAcentral describes it as "partial 16S ribosomal RNA". It matches the Rfam family "Bacterial small subunit ribosomal RNA", at positions 338 to 795 of the family's 1533-position model. The record is from RNAcentral.